This 75-nucleotide small RNA is filed under the name Leptospira meyeri. Its description in RNAcentral is "Flavo-1 RNA". It matches the Rfam family "Flavo-1 RNA". The record is from RNAcentral. Lineage: Bacteria; Pseudomonadati; Spirochaetota; Leptospiria; Leptospirales; Leptospiraceae.
AUUUAUCCUGCGCCACCGAUCGAAGCGAAAAUCCUUUCCCAAAGGGAAAGAUUGGAGCGUAGAGCGGGAUCGUUC